RNAcentral lists this long non-coding RNA (1013 nucleotides) under Durio zibethinus. RNAcentral's name for it is "long non-coding RNA (DZIB_LNC000551)". The record is from RNAcentral. Lineage: Eukaryota; Viridiplantae; Streptophyta; Magnoliopsida; Malvales; Malvaceae.
UCAAUAGUCGAGUUCAUCAAGACAUGAUAUACCAUAUCAAGUUCACCGACAUUGGCUCAUUAAACACAACAGCACGUAAACUUUGAUAAGAAGAACAUAUAUAAUCGUUGAAGCAAAGAUUUCAUUGAGGAAUAUUCCAGACGUGAAGAAAACUACAUGCUUGUUACGAAAUAGAAUAUGAAUAUUUAUGAACCAUAAAAAAUAUGAACUCAAAAGGUAACUUGUUUUGGUUGCCGGCCUAUGAAUAUGAACCAACUGAAUUGGGGGACCAUCAAAGAAAUCUUUGAAAACAGUAAAAAAUUAAAAAACAAAAAGAGGUAGGAACUUGGCAUGAGAUCAUUCCGUGAUGGGUUAGGACAAGUGUAGCGAGCUAGAUCACAUAACCUCUCAUGGUGGAAAUGAUAAUGAUAAUCCUUCAACAAUUGAGGCUAUACAUAAUUGAUUAUUAUUAUUAUUUUUGUUAGAAAGAAAGAUUUAACAGAGGGGGGCUUUUGCUGUUUCAAACUUAAAAUUUUUCUGUGUUGCUUUAUUUGAAAAUUGAUGAUAGUGUAAUAAUAAUAAUAAUAAUAAUAAUAAUAAUAACUUAAAUAUCAAAUAACAAUGUUGGGUCAUAACUUUUAUAUUAUUAUUUUUAUUAUUUCAAUGAUCAAUAGCUUGAUCCUUAUAUGAAAUUCAAUGAUCGAGUUUGUGGAGUCAAAGAUUGAUGUUUAACGUUAUCCGCACAAGUAGUUUUCAAAAUUAUAUUCUGUUAAACGUAAAACGGAUAUAGCGUUUUGAAAUUGUCAUGGCUUUUUAUAAGAAAAAUAUAGAUGUCUCGUUCCCACAUCAAAAUCAUGUACUUUUUAAUAUUGCGCAUGCAAUUCCUACUGAAAUCAGACUCUUUUUUGUUUUAUAUUCCAAAACUCCAAUGUUAAUUUUUAUAAUUUCAUGUAAAAUUAAUUUGAAUUUAAUAAUAUAUUUAUAUAUCCAUCAUGUAUAUAAAAUUUCAAAUUAAUCAUAUGUUUUUAUCAUAU